UNGCCAGUUCUGGUGUCCAUCACAGCUG
Molecule: non-coding RNA, 28 nt
Filed under: Mus musculus (house mouse)
Lineage: Eukaryota; Metazoa; Chordata; Mammalia; Rodentia; Muridae
Source: RNAcentral